This 253-nucleotide ribosomal RNA is filed under the name uncultured bacterium. RNAcentral's name for it is "partial 16S ribosomal RNA". It matches the Rfam family "Bacterial small subunit ribosomal RNA", at positions 524 to 776 of the family's 1533-position model. The record is from RNAcentral.
UACGUAGGGACCUAGCGUUGUCCGGAAUCAUUGGGCGUAAAGCGCGCGUAGGCGGCCCGGUAAGUCCGUUGUGAAAGUCAAAGGCUCAACCUUUGAAAGCCGAUGGAUACUGCCGGGCUAGAGUACGGAAGAGGCGAGUAGAAUUCCUGGUGUAGCGGUGGAAUGCGCAGAUAUCAGGAGGAAUACCCAUAGCGAAGGCAGCUCGCUGGGACGUUACUGACGCUGAGGCGCGAAAGCGUGGGGAGCGAACAGG